Molecule: ribosomal RNA, 334 nt
Filed under: uncultured eukaryote
Lineage: Eukaryota
Description: partial 18S ribosomal RNA
Rfam family: Eukaryotic small subunit ribosomal RNA
Source: RNAcentral
CCCUUAGAUGUCCGGGGCCGCACGCGCGCUACACUGAAGGAAUCAGCGUGGCUUUCUCCCUGACCCGAAAGGGUUGGGAAACCCGUUGAAUCUCCUUCGUGAUAGGGAUUGGGGCUUGAAAUUGUUCCCCAUGAACGAGGAAUUCCCAGUAAGCGCGAGUCAUAAGCUCGCGUUGAUUACGUCCCUGUCCUUUGUACACACCGCCCGUCGCUACUACCGAUUGAACGGUUUAGUGAGGGCCUCGGACUGGUCUCGGCCCGCUCUUUACCGGGCGGCGCCGUUGGUCGAGAAGACGCUCGAACUUGAUCGUUUAGAGGAAGUAAAAGUCGUAACA